AAGAGGUAAUGGUUUUAACAUUUAGAUUGUCUUGAUUAGGAGGGACGAGGACUUGUGUGAAGAGUUCCCAAUUUGCUAAUUGGAUUUUAUAUUUAGCUAUCGUUUUUAUUGGAAGAUUGUGACCCCUGACUGUGAUAAUAAUGGGAAAAUGGUCACUAUGAUGUAGAUCAUCUUCCACCUCCCAUUUCAGGCUAGUAUGUAUACCUGGUGAACAUACUGAUACAUCGAUGGAGUCAAAUGUGCCUGAUCCUGCAUUGAAAAAUGUAGCGGAGCCAUCAUUUACAUCAUUUGAUCUGGAGCCCCAAACGGUGUUGUGGGAAUUAAAAUCCCCAACAAGAAUAAAUGGUGGUGGAAGCUGCCCAAUAAUUUUUCGAAUUUCUUCGACAUCAUAAUUUAUAUUGGGAGUGUAAAUAUUACAAAGUGUACACGAUCUACUAAUUUCAAGUUUAACGGCUACAGCCUGGUAAGUUGUAUGUAAUUUAACUUGUUUAUAAGGUGUUCCUUUGUGAAUGAGAAAUGCUACUCCUCCACAGGCUCUUGCAGGUUUUAAAUGUGUUUCCUGAAUGGCAACACACAAUGGUGUGUGCCUUUGUAUAAGUAGUUUUAGUUCAUUUAAGUUGUUGGAUAGUCCUCUACAAUUCCAUUGUAUAAUUUUUGU
This is a long non-coding RNA of Photinus pyralis (common eastern firefly), 658 nucleotides long. RefSeq lists it as uncharacterized. The record is from RefSeq and is a predicted model, not a curated record. NCBI's taxonomy places the organism in Eukaryota, Metazoa, Arthropoda, Insecta, Coleoptera, Lampyridae. The transcript is spliced from 3 exons.